RNAcentral lists this ribosomal RNA (252 nucleotides) under uncultured bacterium. RNAcentral describes it as "partial 16S ribosomal RNA". It matches the Rfam family "Bacterial small subunit ribosomal RNA", at positions 524 to 775 of the family's 1533-position model. The record is from RNAcentral.
UACGAAGGGGGCUAGCGUUGUUCGGAAUCACUGGGCGUAAAGCGCACGUAGGCGGAUCUUUAAGUCAGGGGUGAAAUCCCGAGGCUCAACCUCGGAACUGCCUUUGAUACUGGGGAUCUCGAGUCCGGGAGAGGUGAGUGGAACUGCGAGUGUAGAGGUGAAAUUCGUAGAUAUUCGGAAGAACACCAGUGGCGAAGGCGGCUCACUGGACUGGUAUUGACGCUGAGGUGCGAAAGCGUGGGGAGCAACAGG